GUUCGCGGAGUCGGUGGCCCUGCUCCCGGUAUGAUGCAACCACAGAUCUCGCGUCCUCCGAUCCCGCAGCUCUCUGCCCCGCCUAUGACUUAUCCGCCUUCUGCAGCCGGCGGGCCGCCGGUUCUUCGACCACCUGGUCAGAUUCCUCCUCCUGCAUAUCCUGGACAAGGUCCACCUCCGAUGGUUCGGGGUCCACCCCCUCAGGUUCCACCUCCAUCAUUUGGUGUCAGGCCACCGCAACAGUUCCCUGUGCCUCCACCGCAGUUCGGGCAGAGGCCGAUGGUUCCGCCGCCUGCUCCAAUGAUGAGGGG
RNAcentral lists this long non-coding RNA (311 nucleotides) under Carica papaya (papaya). Its description in RNAcentral is "long non-coding RNA (CPAP_LNC003792)". Lineage: Eukaryota; Viridiplantae; Streptophyta; Magnoliopsida; Brassicales; Caricaceae. The record is from RNAcentral.